UACCAGCACCCCGAGUGGUCGGGACGAUUAUUGGGCCUAAAGCAUCCGUAGCCGGUUCUACAAGUCUUCCGUUAAAUCCACCUGCUUAACAGAUGGGCUGCGGAGGAUACUAUAGAGCUAGGAGGCGGGAGAGGCAAGCGGUACUUAGUGGGUAGGGGUAAAAUCCGUUGAUCCAUUGAAGACCACCAGUGGCGAAGGCGGCUGACUGGUCCGGUUCUGACGCUGAGGUGCGAAAGCGUGGGGAGCAAACAGG
This 253-nucleotide ribosomal RNA is filed under the name uncultured bacterium. RNAcentral's name for it is "partial 16S ribosomal RNA". It matches the Rfam family "Archaeal small subunit ribosomal RNA", at positions 474 to 727 of the family's 1478-position model. The record is from RNAcentral.